AUAAUGGGUCAGCGACUUAUAUUCUGUAGCAAGGUUAACCGAAUAGGGGAGCCGAAGGGAAACCGAGUCUUAACUGGGCGUUAAGUUGCAGGGUAUAGACCCGAAACCCGGUGAUCUAGCCAUGGGCAGGUUGAAGGUUGGGUAACACUAACUGGAGGACCGAACCGACUAAUGUUGAAAAAUUAGCGGAUGACUUGUGGCUGGGGGUGAAAGGCCAAUCAAACCGGGAGAUAGCUGGUUCUCCCCGAAAGCUAUUUAGGUAGCGCCUCGUGAAUUCAUCUCCGGGGGUAGAGCACUGUUUCGGCAAGGGGGUCAUCCCGACUUACCAACCCGAUGCAAACUGCGAAUACCGGAGAAUGUUAUCACGGGAGACACACGGCGGGUGCUAACGUCCGUCGUGAAGAGGGAAACAACCCAGACCGCCAGCUAAGGUCCCAAAGUCAUGGUUAAGUGGGAAACGAUGUGGGAAGGCCCAGACAGCCAGGAUGUUGGCUUAGAAGCAGCCAUCAUUUAAAGAAAGCGUAAUAGCUCACUGGUCGAGUCGGCCUGCGCGGAAGAUGUAACGGGGCUAAACCAUGCACCGAAGCUGCGGCAGCGACGCUGAUGCGUUGUUGGGUAGGGGAGCGUUCUGUAAGCCUGUGAAGGUGUGCUGUGAGGCAUGCUGGAGGUAUCAGAAGUGCGAAUGCUGACAUAAGUAACGAUAAAGCGGGUGAAAAGCCCGCUCGCCGGAAGACCAAGGGUUCCUGUCCAACGUUAAUCGGGGCAGGGUGAGUCGACCCCUAAGGCGAGGCCGAAAGGCGUAGUCGAUGGGAAACAGGUUAAUAUUCCUGUACUUGGUGUUACUGCGAAGGGGGGACGGAGAAGGCUAUGUUGGCCGGGCGACGGUUGUCCCGGUUUAAGCGUGUAGGCUGGUUUUCCAGGCAAAUCCGGAAAACUAAGGCUGAGGCGUGAUGACGAGGCACUACGGUGCUGAAGCAACAAAUGCCCUGCUUCCAGGAAAAGCCUCUAAGCAUCAGGUAACAUCAAAUCGUACCCCAAACCGACACAGGUGGUCAGGUAGAGAAUACCAAGGCGCUUGAGAGAACUCGGGUGAAGGAACUAGGCAAAAUGGUGCCGUAACUUCGGGAGAAGGCACGCUGAUAUGUAGGUGAAGUCCCUCGCGGAUGGAGCUGAAAUCAGUCGAAGAUACCAGCUGGCUGCAACUGUUUAUUAAAAACACAGCACUGUGCAAACACGAAAGUGGACGUAUACGGUGUGACGCCUGCCCGGUGCCGGAAGGUUAAUUGAUGGGGUCAGCGCAAGCGAAGCUCUUGAUCGAAGCCCCGGUAAACGGCGGCCGUAACUAUAACGGUCCUAAGGUAGCGAAAUUCCUUGUCGGGUAAGUUCCGACCUGCACGAAUGGCGUAAUGAUGGCCAGGCUGUCUCCACCCGAGACUCAGUGAAAUUGAACUCGCUGUGAAGAUGCAGUGUACCCGCGGCAAGACGGAAAGACCCCGUGAACCUUUACUAUAGCUUGACACUGAACAUUGAGCCUUGAUGUGUAGGAUAGGUGGGAGGCUUUGAAGUGUGGACGCCAGUCUGCAUGGAGCCGACCUUGAAAUACCACCCUUUAAUGUUUGAUGUUCUAACGUUGACCCGUAAUCCGGGUUGCGGACAGUGUCUGGUGGGUAGUUUGACUGGGGCGGUCUCCUCCUAAAGAGUAACGGAGGAGCACGAAGGUUGGCUAAUCCUGGUCGGACAUCAGGAGGUUAGUGCAAUGGCAUAAGCCAGCUUGACUGCGAGCGUGACGGCGCGAGCAGGUGCGAAAGCAGGUCAUAGUGAUCCGGUGGUUCUGAAUGGAAGGGCCAUCGCUCAACGGAUAAAAGGUACUCCGGGGAUAACAGGCUGAUACCGCCCAAGAGUUCAUAUCGACGGCGGUGUUUGGCACCUCGAUGUCGGCUCAUCACAUCCUGGGGCUGAAGUAGGUCCCAAGGGUAUGGCUGUUCGCCAUUUAAAGUGGUACGCGAGCUGGGUUUAGAACGUCGUGAGACAGU
RNAcentral lists this ribosomal RNA (2033 nucleotides) under Escherichia coli. RNAcentral's name for it is "partial 23S ribosomal RNA". It matches the Rfam family "Bacterial large subunit ribosomal RNA", at positions 612 to 2630 of the family's 2925-position model. Lineage: Bacteria; Pseudomonadati; Pseudomonadota; Gammaproteobacteria; Enterobacterales; Enterobacteriaceae. The record is from RNAcentral.